This is a non-coding RNA of Vicia faba (fava bean), 360 nucleotides long. The record is from the annotation of a GenBank genome assembly. Lineage: Eukaryota; Viridiplantae; Streptophyta; Magnoliopsida; Fabales; Fabaceae.
AUGAUGAUAUUGACCUAUGGAGCCGAGGCUUGCUCUAGCGACGGUUGUGAGGUGAAUCCGAGUAGAAGACAUAAAAGACUAAAGAUGAGAUUAUAUUCGCUCAGGGCUGAACUGGUAAUGCAGGGUCAGGAUUUGGUCGCGGGAAGAAGCCUGAGCACAUUCAGGCCAUCGAGCUUCCUUCCAUUGAAGCCAAGGAAUGCUGAUAAGACUUAACUUGAGGACUAUCCACAACCUCACUCUGUUAUUGGAGUUAGUGUUCUAAAGCGUAUCAGGAUUAAGGAGAUGUUAAAGGAGAUAAGGGCUGCUUUAAGGCAUUGCAUUGAUUCCAAUGGAGCAUUGGCUUCCAGUGUCACGCGAUGA